RNAcentral lists this ribosomal RNA (492 nucleotides) under uncultured bacterium. Its description in RNAcentral is "partial 16S ribosomal RNA". It matches the Rfam family "Bacterial small subunit ribosomal RNA", at positions 29 to 507 of the family's 1533-position model. The record is from RNAcentral.
AGUGAACGCUGGCGGUAGGCCUAACACAUGCAAGUCGAACGGCAGCACAGUAAGCGCUUGCUCUUACGGGUGGCGAGUGGCGGACGGGUGAGGAAUACAUCGGAAUCUACUUUUUCGUGGGGGAUAACGUAGGGAAACUUACGCUAAUACCGCAUACGACCUACGGGUGAAAUCAGGGGAUCUUCGGACCUUGCGCGACUGAAAUAGCCGAUGCCGGAUUAGCUAGUUGGCGGGGUAAAGGCCCACCAAGGCGACGAUCCGUAGCUGGUCUGAGAGGAUGAUCAGCCACACUGGAACUGAGACACGGUCCAGACUCCUACGGGAGGCAGCAGUGGGGAAUAUUGGACAAUGGGCGAAAGCCUGAUCCAGCCAUACCGCGUGGGUGAAGAAGGUCUUCGGGUUGUAAAGCCCUGUUGUUGGGAAAGAAAAGCAGCAGGUUAAUACCCCGCUGUUCUGACGGUACCCAAAGAAUAAGCACCGGCUAACUUCGUG